AUGUUAGCGGCGGACGGGUGAGUAACACGUGGGUAACCUGCCUGUAAGACUGGGAUAACUCCGGGAAACCGGGGCUAAUACCGGAUGGUUGUUUGAACCGCAUGGUUCAGACAUAAAAGGUGGCUUCGGCUACCACUUACAGAUGGACCCGCGGCGCAUUAGCUAGUUGGUGAGGUAACGGCUCACCAAGGCAACGAUGCGUAGCCGACCUGAGAGGGUGAUCGGCCACACUGGGACUGAGACACGGCCCAGACUCCUACGGGAGGCAGCAGUAGGGAAUCUUCCGCAAUGGACGAAAGUCUGACGGAGCAACGCCGCGUGAGUGAUGAAGGUUUUCGGAUCGUAAAGCUCUGUUGUUAGGGAAGAACAAGUGCCGUUCAAAUAGGGCGGCACCUUGACGGUACCUAACCAGAAAGCCACGGCUAACUACGUGCCAGCAGCCGCGGUAAUACGUAGGUGGCAAGCGUUGUCCGGAAUUAUUGGGCGUAAAGGGCUCGCAGGCGGUUUCUUAAGUCUGAUGUGAAAGCCCCCGGCUCAACCGGGGAGGGUCAUUGGAAACUGGGGAACUUGAGUGCAGAAGAGGAGAGUGGAAUUCCACGUGUAGCGGUGAAAUGCGUAGAGAUGUGGAGGAACACCAGUGGCGAAGGCGACUCUCUGGUCUGUAACUGACGCUGAGGAGCGAAAGCGUGGGGAGCGAACAGGAUUAGAUACCCUGGUAGUCCACGCCGUAAACGAUGAGUGCUAAGUGUUAGGGGGUUUCCGCCCCUUAGUGCUGCAGCUAACGCAUUAAGCACUCCGCCUGGGGAGUACGGUCGCAAGACUGAAACUCAAAGGAAUUGACGGGGGCCCGCACAAGCGGUGGAGCAUGUGGUUUAAUUCGAAGCAACGCGAAGAACCUUACCAGGUCUUGACAUCCUCUGACAAUCCUAGAGAUAGGACGUCCCCUUCGGGGGCAGAGUGACAGGUGGUGCAUGGUUGUCGUCAGCUCGUGUCGUGAGAUGUUGGGUUAAGUCCCGCAACGAGCGCAACCCUUGAUCUUAGUUGCCAGCAUUCAGUUGGGCACUCUAAGGUGACUGCCGGUGACAAACCGGAGGAAGGUGGGGAUGACGUCAAAUCAUCAUGCCCCUUAUGACCUGGGCUACACACGUGCUACAAUGGACAGAACAAAGGGCAGCGAAACCGCGAGGUUAAGCCAAUCCCACAAAUCUGUUCUCAGUUCGGAUCGCAGUCUGCAACUCGACUGCGUGAAGCUGGAAUCGCUAGUAAUCGC
This 1270-nucleotide ribosomal RNA is filed under the name Bacillus amyloliquefaciens. RNAcentral's name for it is "bacterial SSU rRNA". It matches the Rfam family "Bacterial small subunit ribosomal RNA", at positions 89 to 1345 of the family's 1533-position model. Lineage: Bacteria; Bacillati; Bacillota; Bacilli; Caryophanales; Bacillaceae. The record is from RNAcentral.